AUUGAACGCUGGCGGCAUGCUUUACACAUGCAAGUCGAACGGUAACAGGCCUUCGGGUGCUGACGAGUGGCGAACGGGUGAGUAAUGCAUCGGAACGUACCCAGAGGUGGGGGAUAACGCAGCGAAAGCUGUGCUAAUACCGCAUGUGAUCUGAGGAUGAAAGCGGGGGACCGAGCAGCAAUGUUUGGCCUCGCGCCUUUGGAGCGGCCGAUGUCGGAUUAGCUAGUUGGUGGGGUAAAGGCUUACCAAGGCGACGAUCCGUAGCUGGUCUGAGAGGACGACCAGCCACACUGGGACUGAGACACGGCCCAGACCCCUACGGGAGGCAGCAGUGGGGAAUUUUGGACAAUGGGCGCAAGCCUGAUCCAGCAAUGCCGCGUGCGGGAAGAAGGCCUUCGGGUUGUAAACCGCUUUUGGCAGGAACGAAACGGUGUCCGCUAAUACCGGGCGCUAAUGACGGUACCUGCAGAAUAAGCACCGGCUAACUACGUG
Molecule: ribosomal RNA, 492 nt
Filed under: uncultured bacterium
Lineage: Bacteria
Description: partial 16S ribosomal RNA
Rfam family: Bacterial small subunit ribosomal RNA
Source: RNAcentral